UACAGAGGGUGCGAGCGUUGUCCGGAAUUACUGGGCGUAAAGCGCGCGUAGGCGGCUUUGUAAGUUAGAGGUGAAAGCCCGGGGCUCAACCCCGGAAUUGCCUUUAAGACUGCAUCGCUAGAAUCAUGGAGAGGUUAGUGGAAUUCCGAGUGUAGAGGUGAAAUUCGUAGAUAUUCGGAAGAACACCAGUGGCGAAGGCGACUAACUGGACAUGUAUUGACGCUGAGGUGCGAAAGCGUGGGGAGCAAACAGG
RNAcentral lists this ribosomal RNA (253 nucleotides) under uncultured bacterium. RNAcentral describes it as "partial 16S ribosomal RNA". It matches the Rfam family "Bacterial small subunit ribosomal RNA", at positions 524 to 776 of the family's 1533-position model. The record is from RNAcentral.